UAGUCAUAUGCUUGUCUCAAAAAUUAACCCAUGCAUGUCUAAGUAUAAGCAAUCUAUACGGUGAAACUGCGAAUGGCUCAUUAAAUCAGUUAUCGUUUAUUUGAUAGUACCUUACUACUUGGAUAACCGUGGUAAUUCUAGAGCUAAUACAUGCUAAAAACCCCGACUUCGGAAGGGGUGUAUUUAUUAAAUAAAAAACCAAUGCCCUUCGGGGCUCCUUGGUGAUUCAUAAUAACUUAACAAAUCGCAGGGCCUUGUGCCGGCAAUGGUUCAUUCAAAUUUCUGCCCUAUCAACUUUCGAUUGUAAGGUAGUGGCUUACAAUGGUUUCAACGGGUAACGGGGAAUUAGGGUUCUAUUCCGGAGAGGGAGCCUGAAAAACGGCUACCACAUCCAAGGAAGGCAGCAGGCGCGCAAAUUACCCAAUCCCGACACGGGGAGGUAGUGACAAUAAAUACUGAUACAGGGCUCUUUUGGGUCUUGUAAUUGGAAUGAGUACAAUUUAAAUCCCUUAACGAGGAACAAUU
RNAcentral lists this ribosomal RNA (525 nucleotides) under uncultured eukaryote. RNAcentral's name for it is "SSU rRNA". It matches the Rfam family "Eukaryotic small subunit ribosomal RNA", at positions 21 to 549 of the family's 1831-position model. The record is from RNAcentral.